GUCCCCAUCGUCUAGUCGGGUCUAGGACACCGGCCUUUCAAGCCGGCAACAGCGGUUCAAAUCCGCUUGGGGACGCCA
Molecule: transfer RNA, 78 nt
Filed under: Acidobacteriota bacterium
Lineage: Bacteria; Pseudomonadati; Acidobacteriota
Also listed under: 1 other name
Description: tRNA-Glu
Rfam family: tRNA
About the family: Transfer RNA (tRNA) molecules are approximately 80 nucleotides in length. Their secondary structure includes four short double-helical elements and three loops (D, anti-codon, and T loops). Further hydrogen bonds mediate the characteristic L-shaped molecular structure. tRNAs have two regions of fundamental functional importance: the anti-codon, which is responsible for specific mRNA codon recognition, and the 3' end, to which the tRNAs corresponding amino acid is attached (by aminoacyl-tRNA synthetases). tRNAs cope with the degeneracy of the genetic code in two manners: having more than one tRNA (with a specific anti-codon) for a particular amino acid; and 'wobble' base-pairing, i.e. permitting non-standard base-pairing at the 3rd anti-codon position.
Source: RNAcentral